AUAUAUGCUGCGCACAAAGGCCUAAGCAUAUACAAAUACUAAAACUGGGCGGAUACUUAGAAGGUUAGCAUGGCUCCUGCCUACGGGUGACAUGCAAAUUUGUAGUGUUUCAAAUUUCA
This 119-nucleotide small nuclear RNA is filed under the name Chinchilla lanigera (long-tailed chinchilla). Lineage: Eukaryota; Metazoa; Chordata; Mammalia; Rodentia; Chinchillidae. The record is from RNAcentral.